This 73-nucleotide transfer RNA is filed under the name Ixodes scapularis (black-legged tick). Its description in RNAcentral is "tRNA-Thr". It matches the Rfam family "tRNA". From Rfam's summary of the family: Transfer RNA (tRNA) molecules are approximately 80 nucleotides in length. Their secondary structure includes four short double-helical elements and three loops (D, anti-codon, and T loops). Lineage: Eukaryota; Metazoa; Arthropoda; Arachnida; Ixodida; Ixodidae. The record is from RNAcentral.
CACUGGUUAGCUCAGUUGGUAGAGCGCUCCACUUGUAAUGGAGAGGUCCCGGGUUCGAUACCCGGACCAGGCG